UUGAAAGGGAAACGAUUGAAGUCAGUCGUACCUGCGGGUAAUCAGCCUUUUGGGCAUGAUUCUGUGGAGCGUGAGGAGUUAAACGCCUUCAUGCCUACAUAUUCGUGUACAUUGGGUGUACUUGCCUGUGUGGUUAGUUAACAUCAAUUUUGGUUAUCAUAAAAUGGUUGGAGGAAUGUAGCUUCGACUUCGAUUGAAGUGUUAUAGCCUUCGGCAGAUGUGAUGAUCGGGAUUGAGGAUUGCAACGGAUACCCUUCGGGGCUACCUGUCUGGUCUCUGAUCGUUGCUUUGGUGCCGAAAGCGUGCUUACGGUUAUCAAAGUCGAUGGUCAAUAGGUUAGAAUGGGUUAAAUUCGUUAAGGAUGUUGACGUA
RNAcentral lists this ribosomal RNA (372 nucleotides) under uncultured Glomeromycotina. Its description in RNAcentral is "eukaryotic LSU rRNA". The record is from RNAcentral. Lineage: Eukaryota; Fungi; Glomeromycota.